RNAcentral lists this ribosomal RNA (396 nucleotides) under uncultured bacterium. Its description in RNAcentral is "bacterial SSU rRNA". It matches the Rfam family "Bacterial small subunit ribosomal RNA", at positions 9 to 408 of the family's 1533-position model. The record is from RNAcentral.
GAGUUUGAUCAUGGCUCAGAUUGAACGCUGGCGGCAUGCCUUACACAUGCAAGUCGAACGGCAGCACGGGAGCAAUCCUGGUGGCGAGUGGCGAACGGGUGAGUAAUAUAUCGGAACGUGCCCAGUCGUGGGGGAUAACGCAGCGAAAGCUGUGCUAAUACCGCAUACGAUCUAUGGAUGAAAGCGGGGGAUCGCAAGACCUCGCGCGAUUGGAGCGGCCGAUAUCAGAUUAGGUAGUUGGUGGGGUAAAGGCUCACCAAGCCGACGAUCUGUAGCUGGUCUGAGAGGACGACCAGCCACACUGGAACUGAGACACGGUCCAGACUCCUACGGGAGGCAGCAGUGGGAAUUUGGACAAGUGGGCGCAAGCCUGAUCCAGCAAUGCCGCGUGCAGGA